This 459-nucleotide ribosomal RNA is filed under the name uncultured bacterium. Its description in RNAcentral is "partial 16S ribosomal RNA". It matches the Rfam family "Bacterial small subunit ribosomal RNA", at positions 338 to 795 of the family's 1533-position model. The record is from RNAcentral.
CCUACGGGUGGCAGCAGUGAGGAAUAUUGGUCAAUGGGCGCGAGCCUGAACCAGCCAAGUCGCGUGAGGGAAGACGGUCCUAUGGAUUGUAAACCUCUUUUGUCGGGGAGCAAAAGACGCCACGCGUGGCGUUCCGAGAGUACCCGAAGAAAAAGCAUCGGCUAACUCCGUGCCAGCAGCCGCGGUAAUACGGAGGAUGCGAGCGUUAUCCGGAUUUAUUGGGUUUAAAGGGUGCGCAGGCGGAAGAUCAAGUCAGUGGUAAACUUGAGAGGCUCAACCUCUUCGAGCCGUUGAAACUGGUUUUCUUGAGUGAGCGAGAAGUAUGCGGAAUGCGUGGGGUAGCGGUGAAAUGCAUAGAUAUCACGCAGAACUCCGAUUGCGAAGGCAGCAUACCGGCGCUCAACUGACGCUCAUGCACGAAAGUGUGGGUAUCGAACAGGAUUAGAUACCCUAGUAGUC